UACGUAGGGUGCAAGCGUUGUCCGGAAUUAUUGGGCGUAAAGAGCUUGUAGGCGGUUUGUCGCGUCUGCUGUGAAAUUUCGGGGCUCAACCCCGAACUUGCAGUGGGUACGGGCAGACUAGAGUGUGGUAGGGGGAGACUGGAAUUCCUGGUGUAGCGGUGAAAUGCGCAGAUAUCAGGAGGAACACCGAUGGCGAAGGCAGGUCUCUGGGCCACUG
RNAcentral lists this ribosomal RNA (217 nucleotides) under uncultured bacterium. Its description in RNAcentral is "partial 16S ribosomal RNA". It matches the Rfam family "Bacterial small subunit ribosomal RNA", at positions 524 to 739 of the family's 1533-position model. The record is from RNAcentral.